This 954-nucleotide ribosomal RNA is filed under the name Triticum aestivum (bread wheat). Its description in RNAcentral is "partial small subunit ribosomal RNA". Lineage: Eukaryota; Viridiplantae; Streptophyta; Magnoliopsida; Poales; Poaceae. The record is from RNAcentral.
AUGAGUCCGGUCAAGCCGGUGGGAGGCAAUGCCGGAAAAGUUGCCUUGGAUGAAGAUUGUGAUACAAUGACUCUUGACAUGGGUGAGGCUAAUAAGAAGCUUCGUAUCACUAGCGAUGGUAUACAUCAAUUAUUUGGUUUCCCUCGUGGUGGUCGUUCUGCACCAAGGCCGUCAGAGGACGGAUAUGAUGACGCUCUGAUGAAGUUAAGAUCGGAGCUUGACAUUAGCAGGGACAAAGAUAUCAAGACAAAGGAUUUGAGGAAUAAGCUCAAGGUGCUCGUCAAGGAUCCUAGCAAAGAUGACCUUGCUCUGAAAGUGUUCUUCAUUAUUGUGUUUAUGAAGGUUGUGUUGCCUGGAUCUGCCCCACGUGUUUCCAGAGAGGCAGCAAUGUUUGAGGGUCUCGUCUUUGAGGACAUGGCUAAUAUGGAUUAUUGCCAACUGAUGGUUGAUGAGCUUAGAAGGGCUGUUGCCAAGUACCAAAGUGGUCAUACCAUGGGGAAGGCAAUCACAGGCUAUGCCAUAGGGCCUGUACUAAUGUACCUUGACUGCCUUAUCCGUGGCAAAACUGCGGAGCCUGACAUGCGAGUCCCCCGCAUAUGUUACAUGGAUCCUGCCAAGCUUUCUGAUCUGGUUGAUGCAGAUUUGAUAAAAAAAGGCAAUGCAGAUCCAAAGACUUGGGUGUUUGGGAAGCUUCCGGUGAGUUUUGUUUGUUUUGUCUCUUGCAGACCUUUUGGUAUUGAUGUUGCUGUUUCAGCGUUGGAGCGUGCUGAGCAUAUCUUAAGUAAUGUGUGUCCUGAGCUGCAAAAGGUCCCAACGACAGUUGAGCGUUUGAGCUGUAUCAAUGGUAUCCUUCCUGAAGGUCAUCAAUUUAACGCUAAGGAAUCUGUUGACUACAUUGAGAUGGAGAGAAUUUUAAUCAGUGAUAUGCACGAUGGUGCCGCUAAUCUAAUCUAG